Molecule: long non-coding RNA, 3504 nt
Filed under: Ficedula albicollis (Collared flycatcher)
Lineage: Eukaryota; Metazoa; Chordata; Aves; Passeriformes; Muscicapidae
Description: lncRNA (ENSFALG00000026747.1)
Source: RNAcentral
GGGGGGGGGGGGGGGGGGGGGGGGGGGGGGGGGGGGGGGGGGGGGGGGGGGGGGGGGGGGGGGGGGGGUGCCGACCUGCCCCCGCCGCUGCCCCCCAAGGCUCCCCACCCGCUGCCGCAGCUGCACAAGCCAAGCAACAUCCAGUCCCUGCCGCUGCCGCCCACCCCCGGGCCGCCCCAGCCCGCAGCCGUGCUGGACACCAGGAAGAAGAGACCCGGCCGAGGCGCAGGAACUGGUGCUGGGAAGCUGGUCACGCCUCCACAGCCACCAGCAAGAUCCCCAACAACUGAACUUACAAGCAAGUCUGGAGUCUCGGCCUGGGCUACAGCUCAUGACCCCUACACACCACUUAAAAAUGGAAAUAUGCACAUCAUUGGUAAUAUAAUUAAAUUAAGUCUCUUGGCCUUGUUAAUAAUGUUAGUACAAAAGCCCGUGUGUGUUCCAGACCUCAAAAACUCACUCAGGACUUUGUCCUAGCAAUAACGCUCACUCAGGACUUUGCCCUAGCAAUAACAGUGUAGUAUAAUAGAAAUAUUUUUGUAUAACCUUAUACAGUGAUGGAAAAACUCACUCAGGACUUUGUCCUAGCAAUAACAGUGUAGUAUAAUAGAAAGAUUUUUGUAUAACCUUAUACAGUGAUGGAAAAUUAAGGCUUUUUCACAAAGGAUUUAAAUUCAGUCAGUAGAAAAGCAAAGGAUGCACUACCUGCACAGUUACUUAAAAAUAUGAGAAGUUUCCAUAGUGUGCUUAUAUUACCAUUCUUAAAAUUAGAUCAUGGACAUUUAGAGGCUCCUAUAGGGCAAAGACCACUGGGAAUUAUUUUUGUGGUCUGGUGAAUUGGCCAUUCAUUCUUGUUUACAGCUACAUGUCUUGAAAAUGACCAAAGAAUACCUCUAUUACCACAAUACCACCAAUGCAGAAAACUGAAAUGGCAGACAGAAGCUUAAUUUCAGUUUUAAAAGCAGGCAGUGAUUGCAAUUAAGGCAAAAAACUUGAAUGGCUCACAGAAGUGCUCAUCAAGAUGAUUUAUAUGGAAUGAGCCACUAUCAAUUCCAGGGGAAAAUAAGCCAGCAUUUUUAAUUGAAAUUAUUUGCAGCAACAUUGUUGGGUUUUUGGUUUUGUUUUUUUUUAAGUUUCUCUCUAGCAGCAACUAAUAUUUAUUUCCCUGAAACUUCUCAGAUGACUUCGAAUCAAAAUUUACUUUCCAUUCUGUGGAAGAUUUCCCUCCACCUGAUGAAUUCAAACCAUUUCAGAAAACAUAUCCCAGCAAGAUACCCAGAGGUAAGCAUGGAAACAUGAAAAGAUCUGAUCAUUAUCAAGAGGUUUAGGAAUGGGGAUGAAAAAUAAAGAACUGAACCAGCAUUAGCAUAACUGGACUGCUAGCAUAGGCACAGAGAGGGAUGGGAUUUGUCACAGUGGCAGCAGGGAUCAAAGAUAUAAUGAAAAGCCCUUAGUUACUUUAGAGUCUUAGCUAACAACAAAUUAUGUGGCUGGACAUGCAGCCUGUGUUUUUAGAUUGCUAAAUUUGCAGAGCCCGUGAUGUUAAAAACAAUCAUGUUGCAAAAGAGACUUGGGCAGCUACUGAGUUUGAUGGCUUUUGUUCACUAACUUGUGAAAUCACAGAGAAAGAUUAUUUGAUCCAUGUAUUUUGAUUUAAAUCCUGUGCAUGGUGUUUCACACACCUGAAUUAACAAAGAGACUUAGUAUCUGAACUGUGUCAGGAAAGUGAUAAAUGGUUGAACCUUGCUUUAUUUUUUUUCUCCCUUCUUAACUUAGAAAUUUAGAAUGAGGUCACUCUUGUAAGAGCAGUUCACCUAUCCAGUUUUGAAAAUUAUAGUUGAAAGUGGAAAAAAAUCUCAUGCCCAUAUUCUUCAUUUCUAUAAAACCAAAUAUUCUGUGUUAUUAUAUCUCCAACUUUAAUUAACCUUUUGUUCUGUUUCCAUGCUAAGGUACUUUGCAUGACUUUUCAUAGCAGCCUCAGUCAGGCUAAAUUGUCUGCUGUGUGUUCUGACUUUUUACUGAAGGGCUGCAGAGCACAAGCAAUAUGUGUGUGUAUGUAUGUAAACAUGUAUAUAUAUGCAUAUGUAUGUAUAUACCAGAGUAGCAGAUAAAUGCAGCAUCCCUGCUAUACAAUUGCAUCCAAAAUACCUAUUUAAAAUCUGUCCUAUCUAUUUACAGAUCCCUCUAAAAAUCCUCCAUUAAGAACACACGUGAGAUGAGAAGAGUCUUCUGAUGCUCUCUGGACUAGUAUUAAAAAAGAAGAUCAAGAUAAUAUAUAAAACAGAAGGGGUUCCUGUUGCAGUGAUUGAUUGUACUUGAGUCACAAGAACUGCAAUAUUAACAUUUCUAUAAACUGUAAAACAAUAUAAAUGAUACCUUUUGAACUGGCCUACAUACUACAGGAAUGUUAGUACAGGCUUUUAAAUUACUGUAUAUAGGUGAAUGUUUUUUAAGCAAAGCAGGAUAAAAUUUAAAUUCUUUGUAGUGUUGAAACAAUUCUAAUUCUUAUUGUGCUGGCAAUGUUACCUCAGAAUGUUUUGUGCUAUGUGCCCAUAGUUCUUUUUUCCCCUUCCAUCAUAUUUUUUUGGAAAUUCUCCAGUUAUUAUUGAGGCAUUUUUUCAAUGAACUGUCAAACUAAUAUAUUAUCUGAGUCUGUUUUUAUGUUUCUUCACUUCUUUCAUUCUGCUUGGCCACAGAUUGCGGCAGAACAUCAUGAAGAGAUGGGCCCACAAUCCUUUUCUCAUGAAGCAUGAAGAGGAGAUGCCAAGGAGCUGUGGCUGCUAAUGAGCCUACCUCCUAAUGAUUACAUAUCCUUAUAGGAUAGUGUCUGAAGCAGCCCAGCUGGGUAGGGUGGUCAUGGACUUGACAAAGAUGACAGAACCUUUCCAAAGCAGAGGAAAAGGAAGUUGCUCUAUUGUAAGCAAGAAAAAGAAACGGUGUGUGUGAAUGCAGUGCUGUGAUGAGUUUGUGUAAGGACACAUGGCCUGUCUUUUCCUGCUGGCAAAGUGGAUAUUUACCAUUUCUGUGGUAGAUUGCCUUUAUCCAGCAAUUACAAGGCCUUUGGAUGAGGGGUCUACAUUUUAAACAGGUGACUAGAGCUAUUACUAUUCACCAGCAGUGAAGGGUUGUUGUCCAAAACACACCACGUGGAACACUCAGCCCCCAAAGUUGUUGCUGUCUCAAAUGGAGUUGAGAAUAAAGUAGAAAAUAACAACUUAGCAGCGGACAAGACUUGAACUACUGCUUUUAAUAUUCAGACCUUGGGUAAGGUCUUCAGAUCACAGAUGUUCAGAUCUGCUCCUAAGAUAUCUAUUUCUAACAAGAAUUACCCUUAUUCUUGUGUAUUGGGAGGAGUGGUGCCAGGUCAGGGAGGUGAUUCUUCCCCUCUGGGCAGCACUAGUGAUGCCUCACCUGAUAUGCAGCCCCGUGUGCUGUGUUUGAAUUCUGGGCUCCCCAGUGCAAGGAACACAUGACUGUGCUGAUGUGCUGUGUCCGAAUUCUGGG